RNAcentral lists this ribosomal RNA (467 nucleotides) under uncultured bacterium. Its description in RNAcentral is "partial 16S ribosomal RNA". It matches the Rfam family "Bacterial small subunit ribosomal RNA", at positions 28 to 506 of the family's 1533-position model. The record is from RNAcentral.
GACGAACGCUGGCGGCGUGCUUAACACAUGCAAGUCGAACGGAAAGGCCCUGCUUUUGUGGGGUGCUCGAGUGGCGAACGGGUGAGUAACACGUGAGUAACCUGCCCUUGACUUUGGGAUAACUUCAGGAAACUGGGGCUAAUACCGGAUAGGAGCUCCCGCUGCAUGGUGGGGGUUGGAAAGUUUCGGCGGUUGGGGAUGGACUCGCGGCUUAGCAGCUUGUUGGUGGGGUAGUGGCUUACCAAGGCUUUGAGGGGUAGCCGGCCUGAGAGGGUGACCGGCCACAUUGGGACUGGGAUACGGCCCAGAGUGCUACGGGAGGCAGCGGUGGGGAAUAUUGCACGAUGGGCGGAAGCCGGAUGCAGCAACGCCGCGUGCGGGAUGACGGCCUUCGGGUUGUAAACCGCUUUCGCCUGUGACGAAGCGUGAGUGACGGUAAUGGGGAAAGAAGCACCGGCUAACUACGU